AGAAGCCUGGCUUUCCAUUAGAGAGUGGGAAGAGAAAUGUGCGGUUUGCAUCAGAUGGCCAUGGUGAGCCUUUUAGGGAAUGGGACCUUUGAACAAAACUUGAAAGAAAUGGUGAGCUACACUCUGACACCAUUCGGGGAAUGCUCCCAAGGGAGGACUAGCCAGUGCCGGAGCCGUAAGGUGGGAGCAGGAAAACAGGAGGCCGUGGCUGGAGCAGAGGGACUGAGUUUGGGGCUGAAGGGAAGAUGGAGAGAUUGCGGCUCUUCCUCUGCACACAUCUGCUCAAAGGAGCUGCUCUAUUGUGAGGCAGUUUUGCACUCGGUCCGCAGGGAUCUUGGUGGGAGCAGACAGCCCAGGCCCUUCAGCCCAGUGUGGAUGCUGAGACCUGAUGGAGUCGGUUGUUCGGAGACCUUCAUGACCUAG
This 423-nucleotide long non-coding RNA is filed under the name Cavia porcellus (domestic guinea pig). RNAcentral describes it as "lncRNA (ENSCPOG00000036370.1)". Lineage: Eukaryota; Metazoa; Chordata; Mammalia; Rodentia; Caviidae. The record is from RNAcentral.